CCUACGGGCGGCAGCAGUGGGGAAUAUUGCGCAAUGGGCGAAAGCCUGACGCAGCGACGCCGCGUGAGGGAUGAAGGUCUUCGGAUCGUAAACCUCUGUCAGCAGGGAAGAACGGUCACUGUGCUAAUCAGCAGUGAAUUGACGGUACCUGCAAAGGAAGCACCGGCUAACUCCGUGCCAGCAGCCGCGGUAAUACGGAGGGUGCGAGCGUUAAUCGGAAUUACUGGGCGUAAAGCGCUCGUAGGCGGUAUGUCAAGUCAAGGGUGAAAUCCCCGCGCUCAACGUGGGAACUGCCUUUGAAACUGGCAGGCUGGAGUGUGGGAGAGGAGGGUAGAAUUCCAGGUGUAGGAGUGAAAUGCGUAGAGAUCUGGAGGAACAUCGGUGGCGAAGGCGACCAGCUGGACGAUGACUGACGCUGAGGAGCGAAAGCGUGGGUAGCAAACAGGAUUAGAUACCCCGGUAGUC
This 465-nucleotide ribosomal RNA is filed under the name uncultured bacterium. RNAcentral describes it as "partial 16S ribosomal RNA". It matches the Rfam family "Bacterial small subunit ribosomal RNA", at positions 338 to 795 of the family's 1533-position model. The record is from RNAcentral.